Molecule: ribosomal RNA, 5799 nt
Filed under: Triticum aestivum (bread wheat)
Lineage: Eukaryota; Viridiplantae; Streptophyta; Magnoliopsida; Poales; Poaceae
Description: partial small subunit ribosomal RNA
Source: RNAcentral
GUGGAACCAGACAUGCUAAAAACAGGACGUACAACCGUAUCGGGAGCAGCUCCCUCAAUCACUCGCUAUUAUUCCAAAACAAAAAUACUAAAGAGACAUUUCAUUGUUCAACUGGGAUCAGGAAGGAAAAAAACAUCAAGUUCUUGCAAUCAGGCAAGAGAAUACCAUGCACAGGGUGACGUACAGAAUAAUGUAGAAAGUGUGUCAAAUAGUAAAGGUAGUAUGAGUCUACCUUAGAGACUAUGUUUAAAAUGCAACCAGCCUAAUCUACACAUACACAGGCGCCACUUGGAGCUACCAAAGUAUGGGAGCAAUAAUAAUCAUUCGCACACUUUCUGAUUACUUGUACCUACAAAGUGCUGGGCUAUCAACUCAUUCAUGGGAAGACGUGCAGAAAGUGCUUGAAGAAGUAGAAUAUUACCAAAUCAAUCCACUUGAGCUUGGAACUUUUCUUCGGUCAGUGUUGGCCAAAAAAUUUGCUUGGCUGUAUUCCCCGCUUGUAUUCCACAAGUUGAACGUUUCUUCAGCUAGCCACUUGAAUUCAACAAGUUGCAGGAUUAUCACACUGAAUUCAACAAGUUGCAGCCACUGCCUCAUAUUCCCUCGGACACAGGGCUUCCAACAAUACUUGGUGUCCAGGAUUUGUAUUAACCCCGAUUCCAACACUGAAACCUUUAUUACUAAAAUAAAGUCAAUACAAAUUCAGCAUGGAAUUUUCCCAAGGAUAGUUGCAUUGCCGCCCCACCACUUGAGCUAAUCUUUUGUUCUGUGUACCAGCUGAAAAGCAAGGAGGGAAACAUUUAAGAGAAUAGCUUAAGACAUAACUGAAGCAGUUACAGAUUACAUCAUCAAACAAACAAGAAAUACUAUCAAACCAACCAGAGGAGCUACCAUCAGAUAAAAACUCUGCCGCAAUGUUAACUCAAAAGUCCAUUUAGUGCAUAAGUUGUAGACGGAGAAGAAUUCAGAAGGAUAUGAGUAGGCGUACGCUGUGGGUACCCUUCUAUCCCUGCUUUCAAUUGCUUUCAAGGAGUAAUUACUCUGUCAUAUUUCCACAGGCAUGAGGAAAGAAAAUAGAGUAAGAGAUGGCGACGCUGAAGGAAAAAUAGGCAGUCCAACAGUAGCUGCCAAAGGAAAGAAAAAUGGGACAGAGAUGGUGACAGAUACUGAAGAAUAUCAUCCAGCAGCAGCUUCCACUCAACUGCUGUGUGUUGACUGACUGAGGACCUCAUGACAAUGUACGAGACAUUCCUUAAAUACUCAUCAAUGGUUUCCAUGGAAUCACAUCCUCCAACCAAUACACAACACACAGACACUAGGCAGCAAGAUGCCAUCUUUCUCAACACCAUUGUUGUACCUCUGCCUACUGCUGGUGCCGUGCCUUCUUCUCUUGCAAGAAGCACACGCGGCGCGCCAUGGAGGGAUCUCACUGAGGUCCCAACACAUGGCCCUCCUCCACUGGAAAGCUACACUUGCGAGCCCACCACCGCAGAUGAACUCUUGACAGGAAAACACCAGCCCGUGCAAUUGGACGGGCAUCAUGUGCACGGCUGUUCGCCAUGGCCGCCGCAUGCCCUGGGUGGUGACCAACAUUUCCCUGCCGGAUGCUGGCAUCCAUGGCCAGCUUGGUGAGCUCAACUUCUCGGCUCUUCCAUUCCUUGAAUAUAUUGACCUCAGUAACAACAGUAUCCAUGGUGCACUACCUGCUAGUAUUAGCUCCCUGUCAGCACUUUCAGUACUUGGCCUUCGGCAGAACCAGCACACAGGGAAAAUCCCACAUGAGAUUGGAGACCUGCAAAGUCUUAGGGUGCUUGAACUCUCAUUUAACAGAUUCACAGGACAGAUCCCUGCAUCUCUAGGCAACCUAACAAUGUUAACUAAUCUCAUCAUUGACCAAACCAUGGUAUCAGGUCCCAUUCCUGAGGAGAUUGGAAGGCUUGUCAACCUACAAAUCCUACAGCUAACCAACAGCACCUUAAGCGGUCUGAUACCAAAAACCCUUGGAAAUCUGACCCAACUAAAUACUUUGUACCUGUUUUAUAAUCAACUUUCAGGGCCUAUACCGAAAGAACUAGGCAGGUUAAUCCAUUUGCAAAGUCUUAAGCUUAGUUUAAAUGAUUUUUCAGGUCCAAUUCCUAUAACCAUAACCAAUCUGACUAAGUUGAACCAACUUUUCCUCUCUGAAAAUCAAAUCACAGGUUCCAUCCCCCCGAAAAUAGGAAAUCUCAAUAUGUUAAACAAUCUUGAUCUAAUGAAAAAUCAAAUAACAGGUUCAAUACCCCGAGAACUUAGCAACCUCACUAUGUUAAAUAAACUUUAUCUCUACAAAAAUCAAAUCACUGGUUCAAUACCUGUAGAACUGGGCAUCUUGCCAAAUCUACAAGAAUUAGACUUUUCGUACAACCAAAUAUCUGGCUUUAUUCCUGGCAGCUUAGGAAAUAUAACCAAGCUGGUAGUACUUUCCCUUGAUGUAAAUCAGAUAACCGGUUCCAUUCCCCAAGAGAUUGGCAAUCUGAUGAGCCUCGAACUAUUAGGCUUGUAUCAGAACCAUAUUUCAGGAUCAAUACCAAAAACCUUUGGGAAGUUGCAAAGCAUCCAAGAACUACAAAUCUAUGAUAACAAAUUAUCAGGUUCUCUUCCUCGAGAAUUCGGAGAUCUCGUAAACCUUGUUCGACUUGGGCUAUCUAGAAACUCACUUUCAGGACCUUUACCCGCAAAUAUAUGCUCAGGUGGUAGACUAGAACAAAUAGUUGUCUUCUCUAAUAUGUUCAAUGGCCCUAUUCCAAGUAGUUUAAAGAAAUGUACAAGUUUGGUUCGAAUUGACCUUCAGUCGAACCAACUAACAGGAGAUAUAUCUCAGCAUUUUGGUGUCUAUCCACAACUCACAAGGAUGGCCUUGUCAUCAAAUAGACUCUCUGGGCAGAUCUCCCAAAAUCUAGGUGCAUGUAGCCAACUGAUGGUACUACGUCUAGCACAAAAUAUGAUCACGGGUUUCAUACCUCCUAUCCUUUCUAAAUUAUCCAAGCUGGAAGAACUAAGACUUGAUUAUAAUCAUCUCAGAGGUGAGAUUCCACCAGAAAUUUGCAGUUUAACAAAUCUCUAUAGACUAAACUUAUCAUCGAACCAAUUAUCUGGAUCCAUACCUGCACAGAUAGAAAAGCUAGGAAAUCUAGGAUACCUUGAUAUAUCUAGGAAUAGACUGAGUGGAUUAAUACCUGAGGAACUAGCGACUUGCAUCAUACUAUUGUCCUUGAAGAUCAACAACAAUAACUUCAGUGGGAGUUUGCCUGGUGCAAUUGGAAAUUUGAUAGGCCUGCAAAUCACGUUAGACGUGAGCAACAAUAACCUAAGUGGUGUGUUGCCGCAACAACUUGGGAAGUUGCAGAUGCUAGAAUUUCUGAAUCUAUCACAUAAUCAGUUCGGUGGCACCAUUCCAUCCUCCUUUGCAAGCAUGGUGAGCCUUUCAACGCUUGACGUGUCAUACAAUGACUUGGAAGGACCAGUCCCAACACUCAGGCAACUCCAAAAUGCUUCAGCAAAUUGGUUUCUUCCCAAUAAAGGUCUGUGUGGUAACCUCUCUGGCCUACAACUUUGUGAUUCAACUCCAGUUCCAGCCGGUCACCACAAACGGAAGAUACUUGGUUUGCUUUUGCCAAUUGUUCUUGUGGUGGGUUUUGGCAUUUUUUCUGCAACUGUUGUCAUAAUAGUGCUUAGUCGUAACAAGACAAAACCACAAGAAGUUGUUACUGCUGAAGGAAGGGACCUAUUCUCUGUUUGGAAUUUCGACGGAAGAUUAGCAUUUGACGAUAUCGUAAGGGCAACGGAAGACUUUGAUGAUAAGUACAUCAUUGGAACAGGAGGAUACGGCAAUGUCUACAAGGCACAACUCCAAGACAGUCAGCUAGUUGCUGUGAAGAAGCUUCAUCAGACAGAAGAAGAGUUGGAUGACGAAAGAAGGUUUCGCAGUGAAAUGGAAAUCUUAUUACAGAUCCGCCAACGAAGCAUUGUCAAAAUGUAUGGAUUCUGCUCCCAUUCAGCGUAUAAAUUUCUUGUCUACGACUACAUUCCGCAAGGAAGCCUCCACCGGACGUUGGAAAAUGAGGAGCUAGCAAAGGAAUUGGAUUGGCAGAAGAGAAUUGUUGCUGUAAAUGAUGUGGCUCAAGCAGUAUCUUAUUUGCACCACGAAUGCAGUCCACCUAUAAUCCAUCGAGAUAUAACGAGCAACAACAUCUUACUUGAUGCAACCUUCAAGGCUUUCGUCUCAGAUUUCGGCACAGCAAGGAUUCUUAAGCCUGAUUCAUCAAACUGGAGUGCACUAGCAGGGACGUAUGGGUACAUAGCUCCUGAACUCUCGUGCACAUCUGUUGUGACGGAGAAAUGUGAUGUCUAUAGCUUCGGUGUGGUUGUGCUAGAGCUAGUGAUGGGGAAGCAUCCAAGGGAUCUAUUAGACGGUAGUUUGUUGAGCGGGGAACAAGCUAUGCUAGUAAAAGAUAUUCUAGACCAACGGCCGACAACACCAACAACAACAGAAGAGAAUAGCUUAGCUCUCCUCAUCAAGAUGGCCUUUUCUUGCUUGGAAUCCUCUCCACAAGCAAGGCCAACCAUGCGAGAGGCAUACCAAACACUCAUCCAGCGACCCACUUCCAGUUCCUACCCCGUGCCUUUCAGCGCACUUACAUUACAGCAAGGGAGUGAUGCAUGUUGAUAUAUGAUCUGAAUUCUAGUGAGAAGCCAAGGUCUAUCAUUGUGGAAGCCGAUUUAGGUUUAUGUUUUGCCUCAAGUCACUCAUAUACCAUCUAUAUAUGUAAAAGUCUGUAAUCAUCUCAUGUCGUCUCGUAGAUUUUAUUUCUAGCAAAAACAAUAACCGAUCCAUGCAGCAUGAGCCUGAUCACGACAUGGCCAGAUCAGUAGUUGCAUGCUAUUACGAUCGCCUCGUGGGAUGGCACGAGUACCGGCUGUAGCGGCUUAGAGCUUGAGGCAUGAUCAAGGGACGUGGGAUGGCAUGUCCGUGAAGCUUGGUCAUGGCGCAAGAUUAGGAUCUUUAUGUUAGCUAUUAGUUGAGCUAAUGAGCUGUUUAAAUAAAGAGGAGAACAAAGCAGAAAAGCUGCAACGGUUUACGCAACGCAAACAUCCUGAGUGUCCACUGAUUCUUCUCCCUCCCUAUGCCUCAGGAUGAGUUCAUGACUCGUUGUAAGUGGUCGAUGCGUAAACAUGAAAAAAUAAAUAUAAACACACGAAGCUAGGUGCAUAAAAAAGGAAAAUUACCAUAGGACUAAGCAAUAGAACUUAUGUGGGGCUGUAUGGCAAGAGUAUGAACUCCUUAUCCUUACGAUGGAGCAUUGUAUCCAGGAGUAUGUAGUCCUCGUCCUUCAGAUGCAACAACAAAUAAUUUACUACUACACUAAAUUUCAAACAUUGAUUGGCGAGAUUGAAAUGGAACAGAGAUACAACCUUAUUUUUUAUUCAUGCCUAAUAAAAGCUUAACAAAGGAUGAGAUGAUAUGAUAUGCAAAGUCCCAGAUGACAGACAACAGUGAGAGCUAAGCUACUGCAAUCAUAGACAUGAAGAGUCUGGUAUGAACAUAUCCCAUAAUCUUUUUACCAAGAAAGUAGGUACCGAUUCACCUAAAAAUUCAACUCACCUAGUGUAAUCACAGACAUACUAAGAACAAGAUGUACAACCGUACAGAGAACAGCUCCAUUUACCAUUCUUCAACGACUGGCAGUAAUAUAUGAGGAAAAAUACAACGAAUUUGUCCAUGCACAAACAAAGCACUGCAGGCAGUCCUAGUUCAUCCUC